RNAcentral lists this ribosomal RNA (497 nucleotides) under uncultured bacterium. Its description in RNAcentral is "partial 16S ribosomal RNA". It matches the Rfam family "Bacterial small subunit ribosomal RNA", at positions 28 to 507 of the family's 1533-position model. The record is from RNAcentral.
GAUGAACGCUGGCGGCGUGCCUAAUACAUGCAAGUCGAGCGAACGGACGAGAAGCUUGCUUCUCUGACGUUAGCGGCGGACGGGUGAGUAACACGUGGAUAACCUACCUAUAAGACUGGGAUAACUUCGGGAAACCGGAGCUAAUACCGGAUGAUAUCUUGAACCGCAUGGUUCAAAGGUGAAAGACGGUGUUGCUGUCACUUAUAGAUGGAUCCGCGCUGCAUUAGCUAGUUGGUAAGGUAACGGCUUACCAAGGCAACGAUGCGUAGCCGACCUGAGAGGGUGAUCGGCCACACUGGAACUGAGACACGGUCCAGACUCCUACGGGAGGCAGCAGUAGGGAAUCUUCCGCAAUGGGCGAAAGCCUGACGGAGCAACGCCGCGUGAGUGAUGAAGGUCUUCGGAUCGUAAAACUCUGUUAUUAGGGAAGAACAUAUGUGUAAGUAACUGUGCACAUCUUGACGGUACCUAAUCAGAAAGCCACGGCUAACUACGUG